GUCGAAAAUUCUGGCCUUUUUUCUGAAUAGUUUGGGAAUUGGAGGUCGAUUAGACAGUUGAUUCUUUGCUGAUACAUUGUGAUUGAUUUGAAAAUUUUGGAUUUUGGAUUUUGUUAAACAUGUACAUGUACUAGUCGAAUUAUUAUUAUUCAUCAUUUCAAAUAGUUAUAUCAAUUUCAUUAGAAAUGGGAGACACAUUUACAGUUAUAUUGAAUUUUUAGCUGUACAAUACCCAAUUUUGUAUAAUUAUAUUGAUAUUUAAUAGUAAUGUGAUAUUUUUGAUAAUUAUAUAAAUACAUAGGUGGAGAAUGCGACAAUAUAUUAAAGAUAACAUUGAUUCUUUUAGAUUUAGAACGUGACAUUUCUAAUAAUGAUAUUCGGGUGUUGAAUGCGACAUUUUUAACAAUUAUAUAUACUGAUUGUUUUAGAUGCAGAGUGCGACAUUUUAGACUAGUAUAAUAUUAUUGUUCUUUGGUUUUUCGUUUGUUUUCAGAUGACGUAAGAAAACAUCACUGGAUUACUUUUGAAAGACAAAACUAGAUAAAAUUGUAUAUUUCUAAAUAUUACCACUAUAUAAUUCAUACUAUUGCAAAAAAUGUUUAUUGAUCAUUUAGCAGACGUAAAGCAGGAAAUGGCGGGAAGAAUCCUAGCAGACGACAGUUGUCGCGCAGAUGCAAUCAUGCACCAUAUCAGACUGCCCGAAAUUACAGGCUGGCCCAGCUCUAUACUGGACUCGCUUUCAGCAUGUUAGGGUUUGAAAAAGGAAAUCAUAACUUUGUAACGUAGCAGCCGACAAUAAAUGUUAAAGUGGAAAAUUGCGACUUCCGGUGUGUCUGCUACUCGAUGUUGUGAUCUCAGUUACUUCCCCUGACGUUCAGUAUAUGAAAUGAGGGUCGAGUUUCAGGAUUUGAAAUUAAGAAAGAACGAAAGAUAUGAAAUGAGCACCGGCAAACUGAUCUUGGCAUGUUACAUCCUUAUCACAGAACUGGAACCUACUGAUUAUGAUGAGGUAAAAGUAUAUUUUAUGAAUAUAUGUAUAGAUUUGUUUCUUAGCCUGCUGAAAGCGAAAGUCAUUAGUCUUUGCCUCCAGAAUAGAGCCCGGCCAGCCUGCACAUUUGUGCAGUUUGACCAGCCUCUUUACUGUUUGCUAACUUCCAAUUUUCAUUUUCAUGUGAUAAUUAGUUAUAAUAAUUUAUAAUGGACUGUUCCUUAAAUAAAAUAUUGAAAAGUCCAUUUAAUAAUUUCCGCAGGUUAAAGCAGCAUGCCUCCAGAU
This is a long non-coding RNA of Ruditapes philippinarum (Manila clam), 1273 nucleotides long. RefSeq lists it as uncharacterized. Lineage: Eukaryota; Metazoa; Mollusca; Bivalvia; Venerida; Veneridae. The transcript is spliced from 3 exons. The record is from RefSeq and is a predicted model, not a curated record.